GUGAAGAAAGAAAGAUAUUUUUAGAAAGCCGAGAGCAGAGGAGCGAUUGAAACGGCACGGAAUAGGGAACACGCAACGCGUUCCCGUAAAAGAAACACAAGAAGUGGUGUUGGUGUCAGAUUAGAAAUGAGUGGGUCACAUUCAUUUUUGCAAUUUACUAAGGGGGUAGGGGUGGCCGCUGCUGUCUCACUCACCACUUUUGUUUCAAUAUGUGAGCCACCCAGCAGCCAGCAGCUUCUCGCAAAGCCUCACAGUCGUCUCACUUAGAAACGACAACAACAGUCAAUUAAACCCAACUCAACAAGACAGAGAAAGAAAGAGAGAGAACAUUCAAAAUUUAACAAAUAAUUAUUAUUUUUCUUUUGCGGAGAUUAAG
Molecule: long non-coding RNA, 376 nt
Filed under: Manihot esculenta (cassava)
Lineage: Eukaryota; Viridiplantae; Streptophyta; Magnoliopsida; Malpighiales; Euphorbiaceae
Description: long non-coding RNA (MESC_LNC009932)
Source: RNAcentral